Molecule: ribosomal RNA, 228 nt
Filed under: bacterium enrichment culture clone ALO1_GLFRUDD03GQ7D2
Lineage: Bacteria
Description: partial 16S ribosomal RNA
Rfam family: Bacterial small subunit ribosomal RNA
Source: RNAcentral
GAGUUUGAUCGUGGCUCAGAUUGAACGCUGGCGGCAGGCCUAACACAUGCAAGUCGAGCGGAUGACGGGAGCUUGCUCCUUGAUUCAGCGGCGGACGGGUGAGUAAUGCCUAGGAAUCUGCCUGGUAGUGGGGGACAACGUUUCGAAAGGAACGCUAAUACCGCAUACGUCCUACGGGAGAAAGCAGGGGACCUUCGGGCCUUGCGCUAUCAGAUGAGCCUAGGUCGG